RNAcentral lists this ribosomal RNA (717 nucleotides) under uncultured Bacilli bacterium. RNAcentral's name for it is "bacterial SSU rRNA". It matches the Rfam family "Bacterial small subunit ribosomal RNA", at positions 29 to 717 of the family's 1533-position model. The record is from RNAcentral. Lineage: Bacteria; Bacillati; Bacillota; Bacilli.
ACGAACGCUGGCGGCGUGCCUAAUACAUGCAAGUCGAACGCUUCUUUCCUCCCGAGUGCUUGCACUCAAUUGGAAAGAGGAGUGGCGGACGGGUGAGUAACACGUGGGUAACCUACCCAUCAGAGGGGGAUAACACUUGGAAACAGGUGCUAAUACCGCAUAACAGUUUAUGUCGCAUGGCAUAAGAGUGAAAGGCGCUUUCGGGUGUCGCUGAUGGAUGGACCCGCGGUGCAUUAGCUAGUUGGUGAGGUAACGGCUCACCAAGGCCACGAUGCAUAGCCGACCUGAGAGGGUGAUCGGCCACACUGGGACUGAGACACGGCCCAGACUCCUACGGGAGGCAGCAGUAGGGAAUCUUCGGCAAUGGACGAAAGUCUGACCGAGCAACGCCGCGUGAGUGAAGAAGGUUUUCGGAUCGUAAAACUCUGUUGUUAGAGAAGAACAAGGACGUUAGUAACUGAACGUCCCCUGGCGGUAUCUAACCAGAAAGCCACGGCUAACUACGUGCCAGCAGCCGCGGUAAUACGUAGGUGGCAAGCGUUGUCCGGAUUUAUUGGGCGUAAAGCGAGCGCAGGCGGUUUCUUAAGUCUGAUGUGAAAGCCCCCGGCUCAACCGGGGAGGGUCAUUGGAAACUGGGAGACUUGAGUGCAGAAGAGGAGAGUGGAAUUCCAUGUGUAGCGGUGAAAUGCGUAGAUAUAUGGAGGAACACCAGUGGCG